This 68-nucleotide transfer RNA is filed under the name Hydropsyche pellucidula. RNAcentral's name for it is "tRNA-Cys". Lineage: Eukaryota; Metazoa; Arthropoda; Insecta; Trichoptera; Hydropsychidae. The record is from RNAcentral.
GGUCUUGUAUUCUAUCAUAAGAAAUAAAAUUGCAAAUUUUAUAAAAUAAAUUUUAUUUAUUAAGACUU